Molecule: ribosomal RNA, 433 nt
Filed under: uncultured bacterium
Lineage: Bacteria
Description: partial 16S ribosomal RNA
Rfam family: Bacterial small subunit ribosomal RNA
Source: RNAcentral
AGCGAACGCUGGCGGCAGGCCUAACACAUGCAAGUCGAACGAACUCUUCGGAGUUAGUGGCGGACGGGUGAGUAACACGUGGGAACGUGCCUUUAGGUUCGGAAUAACUCAGGGAAACUUGUGCUAAUACCGAAUGUGCCCUUCGGGGGAAAGAUUUAUCGCCUUUAGAGCGGCCCGCGUCUGAUUAGCUAGUUGGUGAGGUAAAGGCUCACCAAGGCGACGAUCAGUAGCUGGUCUGAGAGGAUGAUCAGCCACAUUGGGACUGAGACACGGCCCAAACUCCUACGGGAGGCGGCAGUGGGGAAUCUUGCGCAAUGGGCGAAAGCCUGACGCAGCCAUGCCGCGUGAAUGAUGAAGGUCUUAGGAUUGUAAAAUUCUUUCACCGGGGACGAUAAUGACGGUACCCGGAGAAGAAGCCCCGACUAACUUCGUG